GCGGGGGUGGCAGAGUCUGGUCAAAUGCGCACGAUUGAGGGUCGUGUUCCUUAGUGGAUGCGAGGGUUCGAAUCCCUUCCUCCGCA
This 86-nucleotide transfer RNA is filed under the name Candidatus Woesearchaeota archaeon. RNAcentral's name for it is "tRNA-Leu". It matches the Rfam family "tRNA". From Rfam's summary of the family: Transfer RNA (tRNA) molecules are approximately 80 nucleotides in length. Their secondary structure includes four short double-helical elements and three loops (D, anti-codon, and T loops). Further hydrogen bonds mediate the characteristic L-shaped molecular structure. tRNAs have two regions of fundamental functional importance: the anti-codon, which is responsible for specific mRNA codon recognition, and the 3' end, to which the tRNAs corresponding amino acid is attached (by aminoacyl-tRNA synthetases). tRNAs cope with the degeneracy of the genetic code in two manners: having more than one tRNA (with a specific anti-codon) for a particular amino acid; and 'wobble' base-pairing, i.e. permitting non-standard base-pairing at the 3rd anti-codon position. Lineage: Archaea; Nanobdellati; Candidatus Woesearchaeota. The record is from RNAcentral.